RNAcentral lists this unclassified non-coding RNA (595 nucleotides) under Hevea brasiliensis (rubber tree). Lineage: Eukaryota; Viridiplantae; Streptophyta; Magnoliopsida; Malpighiales; Euphorbiaceae. The record is from RNAcentral.
AAUUAAAGAUCUUUCAAUCUGAGAAUUUGCAUUUAAACUCAACACAUCAUCUCCCAACAAAAUCCCGUUCCAUGAAACUUUUCUCUUCGCCUCUGCAACUACUUCUCCAUUGAUGUUGAUUAUUCUGAAAGCCAGUUUCCCAUCCAUUUUCACCAAUGAAAAUCUCUCAAAUCCCACAUUUAUUUCACAUACCGAUUGAUUUCUCUUCCUCGAUCCUGAUCUGUACAAUUUCUUCACUCCAAAACUAGGCUUCUUACUUCUCUCCGAUUCGAUCCAUCGGUAUCCUUCCCAUCCUCCAAGAAUCGAGAAUUUCUUUUUCCUGAUGGUGAAGAGAACUUUGCCUCUGAGAUCCAUGAGAAAUACUUCGCGACUGCAUUUUCUGUCGUAGUUAUCGACUCUGUAGACGAUGUCGCCAUUGGAAUCGAAGACGGUGCAGCCAUUUGUGUGGUAAAUCAGAGAUUUCAUCCAAAUGGUGAAGGUUUCGAUUUCGGUUUCGGAACAGAGCGAUGAAGACGACGGAGAUGACGACGGCGACGGCGCUGUUUGAGGGUACACUUUGGCCAUUGAGAUGGAAGAGAGAAAAUAAGGUUUGAAA